Molecule: non-coding RNA, 140 nt
Organism: Cicer arietinum (chickpea)
Lineage: Eukaryota; Viridiplantae; Streptophyta; Magnoliopsida; Fabales; Fabaceae
Source: Rfam
AUCCCAGUUAAGAUUGAAUAUUUUAUUCAGUUCUUAUACUGAUUCAUGGGAGGCCAAAAUAAAUUGUUGGAAGUUUCGCUGAUAAAUGCCUGAAUCUUACCUUUAUAUCAAGGUGUUUACUAGUAACUUGCCACACAUUU